This 343-nucleotide long non-coding RNA is filed under the name Callithrix jacchus (white-tufted-ear marmoset). RNAcentral describes it as "lncRNA (ENSCJAG00000078546.1)". The record is from RNAcentral. Lineage: Eukaryota; Metazoa; Chordata; Mammalia; Primates; Cebidae.
UCUUACCCUUAACCUUGGGUGGCAGUUUUGGCACUCAGGGACACUAAAGCCUCAGAAACAGAUGUCUUCAUUAGGAUUAAGGACUGUUGUUUCAUAUACCAAUGCCUUCAUUCCUCUCAGGUCACCGCACAUCAUGCUCACAGUAGUUUGACCAACCACCCUCUUGCCAUGUUGCUGUCUGAAGAUCCUAAUUCUGGCCUGCUCCUUGGGUAUCAGCUUGGCCACAGUGCGGUAGAGCAACAAUCAGGUUCUUGGGGUGCCCAAGCACAAGCCUAGGCUCUUAGAUCUGCCCUGGGGCAGAGGGGAGUCCACUAUCCUAAAGAUGUAUCCCAGGCCUGAUAGC